AGUGAACGCUGGCGGUAGGCCUAACACAUGCAAGUCGAACGGCAGCACAGUAAGAGCUUGCUCUUACGGGUGGCGAGUGGCGGACGGGUGAGGAAUACAUCGGAAUCUACUUUUUCGUGGGGGACAACGUAGGGAAACUUACGCUAAUACCGCAUACGACCUACGGGUGAAAGCAGGGGAUCUUCGGACCUUGCGCGAUUGAAUGAGCCGAUGUCGGAUUAGCUAGUUGGCGGGGUAAAGGCCCACCAAGGCGACGAUCCGUAGCUGGUCUGAGAGGAUGAUCAGCCACACUGGAACUGAGACACGGUCCAGACUCCUACGGGAGGCAGCAGUGGGGAAUAUUGGACAAUGGGCGCAAGCCUGAUCCAGCCAUACCGCGUGGGUGAAGAAGGCCUUCGGGUUGUAAAGCCCUUUUGUUGGGAAAGAAAAGCAGCAGGUUAAUACCCCGCUGUUCUGACGGUACCCAAAGAAUAAGCGCCGGCUAACUUCGUG
RNAcentral lists this ribosomal RNA (492 nucleotides) under uncultured bacterium. Its description in RNAcentral is "partial 16S ribosomal RNA". It matches the Rfam family "Bacterial small subunit ribosomal RNA", at positions 29 to 507 of the family's 1533-position model. The record is from RNAcentral.